AAAAAAAAAAAAAAAAAUAGAUAUGUGUUUGGAAACCCUAGGGUUGAAGGAAGGAUCAUAUGUAGUUUUUCCAGUCGGUGGCAAACCGCACCUUAGAGCCUUUAUUAUUGAAAAUUGACCAUCCCAGAAUGUUUGCAGCAUCCAAAAACUACGUAGUGUGCACAUGCUAACUGACAGUCGGAGGGCUGUGCUUGGUGUGCACAUGCUAUCGUUGGCUUGUGAAGCGCCCCUUCCACAUGCUUGAUGCAUGAUAGGUGUUCACCAGGCUUUUGGGCUUGGGUCAAGGGUCAAGUGCCCUAUGCUGGGCCUCCAGGCCUGGCUCACUGUGCCGGGCCACAUGAGGCUAGCCAUUUGGAUGCAAACAACUCGUCAUUUUGGGCAAACGACUUUUCAUUUUGACCUUAAAUUAUACACUGUAGAGGCAUUGGCCUGAAGUUUUGAAUAAAAUGCAAAAAUGGGGUUUCAGGAUAGAUUUUUUCACUGGAAAAAUGAGGUUGGUUUGAUAUUACAGACCAUAGGGACUGUGUGGAUAUCCAUUUGUUGAAACUGAAUUUUAAGUUGGGAAUUCCUUGCAUUGCUAUAGUUCAUUAAGCAGUUUCACUUUGUGAUUAAAAAAAACUUUGUUAGUUCCUUGUGGGGCCAGG
This 644-nucleotide unclassified non-coding RNA is filed under the name Hevea brasiliensis (rubber tree). The record is from RNAcentral. Lineage: Eukaryota; Viridiplantae; Streptophyta; Magnoliopsida; Malpighiales; Euphorbiaceae.